This 20-nucleotide unclassified non-coding RNA is filed under the name Dictyostelium discoideum. The record is from RNAcentral. Lineage: Eukaryota; Evosea; Eumycetozoa; Dictyosteliales; Dictyosteliaceae.
UUCAUGGAUUAUCUUACACA